UUGCAGUCUACAAAUGAUUUGUAAUUAUGUUCCCUCACAUCACCGUCAGGUUUGAGGUACAUAACUGAGAUAAUUAUUUGAAUUUGUUUGGUGUUACAUUGACUAGCUAAUUAGAUCAGAUUACCAACAUAUUUCCCUCUUUUCCGCAGGUUAGAGACUUUGAUAAAUUCUCCAGGCAUAGGAUCCUGGGAGAGGUCAGAGUUCAUCUGUGCGAUAUGGAAAUCUCAUAUCCUCUUGAUGUCCUCGAGGACCUAUAGACACCACAGAAGGACCUGGUUGGAGAGGUGCUUCUCCUUCUGAAGUAUCUCCACACCCUCCAGAGGCUAGAGGUUGGUCUGCUGAAAAUCUGGGCACCGCCUCAGCCAAGUAAAAAAAAUAAAGCACUGUAUGCCAAGAUCAGUGUCCUCUGCAACCAGUUCAAGCUGCGGCAUCAGUAGUCCACUGUUAAGACCUGGUGGGAAGUGACCGUCUUCAACGAAGUCAUGAUGUUCACGCUGCCAGACCCACAGAUCAGGGAGUGCUGCAUUGUGGUCUCUGUGUACAAGAUCCAUGCAGCCAAGAAGUCAUCCAAACGCCAGGUUGGCCUGGUCACCUUUGGAAAGGGAAAGAGCUGAUGCGAUAAUUUCGUCAGCCAAUAGCAAAGUGGCAUCAGCUGUUAAGCUGAGGCUAGCCAGGCCAGUCCACCUACUUUGACUAUGUUCUUGUGAUGCACAGCAUAUUGGAAGUGUGUGGAGGACCGGGAUUACAAGGGAUUUUUCAAGCUAUUUCUCACAACUGAUAUCACUUCUCUGUGAAAUAUAGACUAUUAUAUUGAAAUUCUGUGGAUAAAUCAUAAAUUCCAGCUGCUCACUUGGUAUGAGCAGUGCCUGAUCACCUGUGAAUAAUAUAAGUAUUAUCAGUAGGCUACCUAUUUAACGUUGCACUGCACCCCCCCUUUUAGGAACACUAGAGGGCACUUACACUCAGUAGUUCAUUUCUUGAAGAAAUCUAUGGGCAAAGAGGUUGAGUAAAAACAUUUGCAUAUUUAUACAAUCUCAGCUCUGAAGUCGGACUCCCACGAGCAGUUUAGGCACUUUCAAGGUACUUCCAUUUCUUCUAGAAACCAUCAACAUACAUAUAGUACAAAUAAACAGAAUGUAAUCAAUUGUGCUGACAGUGGCGUCAUGGCCAUAGGGGGCACAAAGGCACAUGCUCCCUCAGAUUUGUCAUGUUUUUUUAUUUUAUUUUAGAUGUUAAAUUAAUUACUAAACUACAUUUUCAGCCCACGUUUUAUCAUAAUUAUUUAUAAAAAGAUCUGUCAUCUGUAUUUUGCGGAGGGGGCACACUUACUGGACCAGGCAAAGAAUAGCCCCCAUCCCCCCCAUUCUCCCUAGUAAGUUGUUCCUUCCAAGCUGCACGAGGCAAAGAGAUGCUUAGGCAGGAUGCUAGAUAGUGCGUGCAGUAUCGUCAGUGGAGGAGGAGACUCACUGGGCACAGACGUCAAUUCAACAUCUAUUCCACGUUGAUUCAAUGUAAUUUAAUUGAAAUGACGUUGAAACAACCAGUGUGUGCCCAGUGGAGAGAGAGUGUAGAGUGACACACACAGCAUUUGAUUUGAUUUUAGCUGCCGGUGUUGGGCAGGAGUAUGUUUGUAAAUUAAUUUGAUCAAGCUAUAUAGCCUAUUGAUGCC
Long non-coding RNA from Coregonus clupeaformis (lake whitefish), 1669 nucleotides. RefSeq lists it as uncharacterized. The record is from RefSeq and is a predicted model, not a curated record. NCBI's taxonomy places the organism in Eukaryota, Metazoa, Chordata, Actinopteri, Salmoniformes, Salmonidae. The transcript is spliced from 3 exons.